CCGUGUCCCGCGCGAACGCAACAACUCCCCGUAGUCUACGGGAUCUCGCCGCCGGGUUUCGGUACCUCCACUCCGGGCGAGGAAGAUUUUCGUUUGCGUUUCGUUAAUUAUUUUUUUUAUUCAUGCUGGCAUUUCUAAUUCAUGCUAAUUUUAUUCAUUCAUUAAUAUACAGAAUUUGAAGCAUAUGGUAACUUUUUUUCGGAGGAAUUGCACCCAACAUCCAUUAUUCAAAAUAGAUAAACCAUUUAACACUACUUUUACGCACUUCAAAAACAUCUUCGAAAAAAGUGUUGUGAAGUAAUAGAAAAGAAGAUCCUUCUGGGCCGAACGCCAUCCCCCGGCGCCGCGCACGCAUGUGGAUGCCCGAGGAAAUAUGCGGUCACGAAAUGACACGAUGCCCAGCGUGAAGAGCCACGUGGGCCGAGAUGAACCAACGUCACUCUCCAUGUUAGACCUCACAUAAACCGAGUUAUACUUCCGUGAUUUUUCCCGAGAAACAGUAGUCGCUAAGAAAAUCAAACAAACAUAUAUUUAGAAAUUAAGGAAAAAAAAGAGAAGUAAAUAAAAGUCCCUAUGGUGCUGAAAGAAGCCUUUAACUGCCGAAUGAAUCUCAUCUGAUCUUUCAAUCACAAGCAAACCACAACACAACUCUGCAACUACGACGAGAUUGCAAGCAGAUUUCCAUGCUAGGAGAUCACCUGUUGUAGGCUGCUCGAGAGGACUUCAACUGCACCAUCAGGAAAAUAUUUAAUUGGCAUGGUGUGGCGGCGCUCGCGGGAAUUAAGAUGACGCCGGGCCUCCUGACGAUGCUCUUCUGUCUGGCCGCCGCAGUGUCUCCCGGCGGAGCGGACGAGGCUGAGUACCGUCUCACUCGAUACCUCAUGAGCAACUAUGACAAGUCGGUGAGACCUUCCUUCAAGGCAGCUGACGCCCUCAAUAUCACCUUCGGGCUUGCGCUCACACAAAUCAUCGAUGUGGACGAAAGAAACCAAAUUCUCACCACAAACUGCUGGCUCAAUCAGAUGUGGCUGGACUACAGCCUGCAGUGGAACGCCUCGGACUUCGGCAACAUCCGCGUCAUCCGGCUCCCCGCGGAGAAGCUCUGGAAACCGGACAUCAUUCUAUAUAACAACGCUGACAGCCAGUACAACACCGCCAUCCUCAGCACCAACAUCAUCGUGACCUCGGACGGGAAUGUGACCUGGCUCUCGUCGGCGAUAUUCAAGUCGUCGUGCUCGAUCAACGUCGAGUUUUUCCCGUUCGACGAGCAGAAAUGCGUCAUGAAGUUCGCCUCUUGGACUUACGACGGCUUUCAGGUGAACCUUGUGAUCCAGACGGAGGAGGGUGACCUGAGCAACUACGUGACCAACGGCGAGUGGGACUUGAUCGACAUGAUCGUGGAGCGGAACGUCGUCUACUACUCGUGCUGUGAGGCGCCCUACCCGGACAUCACGUACCACAUCAUUCUCAGACGCCGCCCGCUCUUCUACGUGUUCAACCUGAUCCUCCCAUGUGUUCUCAUCACGGGCAUCGCACUCAUGAGCUUCUACAUGCCCAGCGACUCGGGCGAGAAGGUGACGCUGGGCAUCACGACGCUGCUGUCCAUGACCGUGUUCCUCAUGGUGAUCGGCGAGUCCAUGCCGCCCACGUCGGAGAAGCUGCCGCUCAUUGGCCUGUACUACGGCGUGACCAUCUCGCUGGUGAGCUUCGCCACGGGGCUCUCGGUCGUGACGCUCAACAUCCACCACCGCGGCAUGCGAGGUCGCGAGGUGCCGGCGUUCGUGAAGAAGGUCGUGUUCAGCUACAUGGCCAAGAUGAUGUGCAUCCGCCUCGACAUCCCCGACCCCAUGGGCGGACAGGGACACAAGUUCGCCUCGAAUCUUAAUCACCAUAGCGAGGGCGUGUUCCGCGAGGGCACCGGCCAGCUGGAGAUGAGCGAGAGGCUGCUCGACCCGGAGGUCAAGUGUGAAAACGGCGGCAUUCCUCCGACCAGAGUGACUGGCGGUCUCCACGGCCAGCACGCCUGCCCGUCCACGCACCCUUGCCUGGACACGUUUGAGCGGCACUUCCUCCGCGUGCUGAACAAAGUGUACCAGACCAUCGAGAAGAACGAGAUACGACUGGCGGAGCAGGAUCGUCGAGAUACCAUCAAGCUCGAAUGGCAACAGGUGGCGCUGGUUGUGGACAGGUUCCUGCUGUGGGUUUUCAUCGUGUCAACCAUCGGCUCCACCUUCGGGAUCCUGUACAAGUCCCCUCACACUAAACUCUUCACUGUCUGAGUCCUCAUUGCAUCCUCGCUUCUCCCCUACAGUUUUCAAUACCGUCAGUAGAUUCCUGCUCUGGAUUUUCAUCAUAGCCACCAUAAGCACCACCUUUGGCAUCAUGUAUAUGUCCCCUCACACCAAGCUCUUUACCAUGUGAGCGGGAAGAGGAAAAGAGGGGACGGGGAAGGGAGGGAAAGGG
Molecule: unclassified non-coding RNA, 2463 nt
Filed under: Penaeus japonicus
Lineage: Eukaryota; Metazoa; Arthropoda; Malacostraca; Decapoda; Penaeidae
Description: neuronal acetylcholine receptor subunit alpha-10- like, transcript variant X2
Source: RNAcentral